CUUGUACUCCCUCCGUUCCGAAUUAUUUGUCGCAGAAAUGGAUGUAUCUAGAACCAAAAAAUGUCUAGAUACAUCCAUUUCUACGACAAGUAAUUCCGAACGGAGGGAGUACCAG
This is a non-coding RNA of Triticum urartu, 115 nucleotides long. The record is from Rfam. NCBI's taxonomy places the organism in Eukaryota, Viridiplantae, Streptophyta, Magnoliopsida, Poales, Poaceae.